Molecule: ribosomal RNA, 374 nt
Filed under: uncultured eukaryote
Lineage: Eukaryota
Description: partial 18S ribosomal RNA
Rfam family: Eukaryotic small subunit ribosomal RNA
Source: RNAcentral
CAAGAGCGUAUGUAAAAGUUGUUGCAGUUAAAAAGCUCGUAGUUGAACCUUGGGUUUGGUUGGCCGGUCCGCUUUUUUGCGAGUACUGGAUUCAACCGAGCCUUUCCUUCUGGCUAACCAGUCGUUUCGGCGGCUGGCGAACCAGGAUUUUUACUUUGAGAAAAUUAGAGUGUUAAAAGCAGGCAUUAGCUUGAAUAUAUUAGCAUGGAAUAAUAGAAUAGGACGUUAUGGUUCUAUUUUGUUGGUUUCUAGGACCAUCGUAAUGAUUAAUAGGGACGGUCGGGGGCAUCAGUAUUCAGUUGUCAGAGGUGAAAUUCUUGGAUUUACUGAAGACUAACUACUGCGAAAGCAUUUGCCAAGGACGUUUUCAUUAA